AGUGAACGCUGGCGGUAGGCCUAACACAUGCAAGUCGAACGGCAGCACAGUAAGAGCUUGCUCUUACGGGUGGCGAGUGGCGGACGGGUGAGGAAUACAUCGGAAUCUACUUUUUCGUGGGGGAUAACGUAGGGAAACUUACGCCAAUACCGCAUACGACCUACGGGUGAAAGCAGGGGAUCUUCGGACCUUGCGCGAUUGAAUGAGCCGAUGUCGGAUUAGCUAGUUGGCGGGGUAAAGGCCCACCAAGGCGACGAUCCGUAGCUGGUCUGAGAGGAUGAUCAGCCACACUGGAACUGAGACACGGUCCAGACUCCUACGGGAGGCAGCAGUGGGGAAUAUUGGACAAUGGGCGCAAGCCUGAUCCAGCCAUACCGCGUGGGUGAAGAAGGCCUUCGGGUUGUAAAGCCCUUUUGUUUGGAAAGAAAAGCAGCAGGUUAAUACCCCGCUGUUCUGACGGUACCCAAAGAAUAAGCACCGGCUAACUUCGUG
This 492-nucleotide ribosomal RNA is filed under the name uncultured bacterium. RNAcentral's name for it is "partial 16S ribosomal RNA". It matches the Rfam family "Bacterial small subunit ribosomal RNA", at positions 29 to 507 of the family's 1533-position model. The record is from RNAcentral.